CAGUCGCCGCGGGAAUACGAAGGGUGCAAGCGUUACUCGGAAUUACUGGGCGUAAAGCGUGCGUAGGUGGUUGUUUAAGUCCGUUGUGAAAGCCCUGGGCUCAACCUGGGAAUUGCAGUGGAUACUGGGUCACUAGAGUGUGGUAGAGGAUAGUGGAAUUUCCGGUGUAGCAGUGAAAUGCGUAGAGAUCGGAAGGAACAUCUGUGGCGAAGGCGACUAUCUGGGCCAACACUGACACUGAGGCACGAAAGCGUGGGGAGCAAACAGGAUUAGAUACCCGUGUAGUCCCUGUCUCUUAUAC
Molecule: ribosomal RNA, 301 nt
Filed under: uncultured bacterium
Lineage: Bacteria
Description: partial 16S ribosomal RNA
Rfam family: Bacterial small subunit ribosomal RNA
Source: RNAcentral